GUUACAUGGGCAAGGUCGGAACGAACUCUGGUAUUGAUUGGUGCUUGCAUCAUGAUUUACAUUUGAGUGAGUGGCGAACUGGUGAGUAACACGUGGGAAACCUGCCCAGAAGCGGGGGAUAACACCUGGAAACAGAUGCUAAUACCGCAUAACAACUUGGACCGCAUGGUCCGAGUUUGAAAGAUGGCUUCGGCUAUCACUUUUGGAUGGUCCCGCGGCGUAUUAGCUAGAUGGUGGGGUAACGGCUCACCAUGGCAAUGAUACGUAGCCGACCUGAGAGGGUAAUCGGCCACAUUGGGACUGAGACACGGCCCAAACUCCUACGGGAGGCAGCAGUAGGGAAUCUUCCACAAUGGACGAAAGUCUGAUGGAGCAACGCCGCGUGAGUGAAGAAGGGUUUCGGCUCGUAAAACUCUGUUGUUAAAGAAGAACAUAUCUGAGAGUAACUGUUCAGGUAUUGACGGUAUUUAACCAGAAAGCCACGGCUAACUACGUGCCAGCAGCCGCGGUAAUACGUAGGUGGCAAGCGUUGUCCGGAUUUAUUGGGCGUAAAGCGAGCGCAGGCGGUUUUUUAAGUCUGAUGUGAAAGCCUUCGGCUCAACCGAAGAAGUGCAUCGGAAACUGGGAAACUUGAGUGCAGAAGAGGACAGUGGAACUCCAUGUGUAGCGGUGAAAUGCGUAGAUAUAUGGAAGAACACCAGUGGCGAAGGCGGCUGUCUGGUCUGUAACUGACGCUGAGGCUCGAAAGUAUGGGUAGCAAACAGGAUUAGAUACCCUGGUAGUCCAUACCGUAAACGAUGAAUGCUAAGUGUUGGAGGGUUUCCGCCCUUCAGUGCUGCAGCUAACGCAUUAAGCAUUCCGCCUGGGGAGUACGGCCGCAAGGCUGAAACUCAAAGGAAUUGACGGGGGCCCGCACAAGCGGUGGAGCAUGUGGUUUAAUUCGAAGCUACGCGAAGAACCUUACCAGGUCUUGACAUACUAUGCAAAUCUAAGAGAUUAGACGUUCCCUUCGGGGACAUGGAUACAGGUGGUGCAUGGUUGUCGUCAGCUCGUGUCGUGAGAUGUUGGGUUAAGUCCCGCAACGAGCGCAACCCUUAUUAUCAGUUGCCAGCAUUAAGUUGGGCACUCUGGUGAGACUGCCGGUGACAAACCGGAGGAAGGUGGGGAUGACGUCAAAUCAUCAUGCCCCUUAUGACCUGGGCUACACACGUGCUACAAUGGAUGGUACAACGAGUUGCGAACUCGCGAGAGUAAGCUAAUCUCUUAAAGCCAUUCUCAGUUCGGAUUGUAGGCUGCAACUCGCCUACAUGAAGUCGGAAUCGCUAGUAAUCGCGGAUCAGCAUGCCGCGGUGAAUACGUUCCCGGGCCUUGUACACACCGCCCGUCACACCAUGAGAGUUUGUAACACCCAAAGUCGGUGGGGUAACCUUUUAGGAACCAGCCGCCUAAGGGGAUA
RNAcentral lists this ribosomal RNA (1456 nucleotides) under Lactiplantibacillus plantarum. RNAcentral's name for it is "bacterial SSU rRNA". It matches the Rfam family "Bacterial small subunit ribosomal RNA". Lineage: Bacteria; Bacillati; Bacillota; Bacilli; Lactobacillales; Lactobacillaceae. The record is from RNAcentral.